Molecule: ribosomal RNA, 519 nt
Filed under: uncultured bacterium
Lineage: Bacteria
Description: bacterial SSU rRNA
Rfam family: Bacterial small subunit ribosomal RNA
Source: RNAcentral
AGAGUUGAUAUGGCUCAGGAUGAACGCUAGCUACAGGCUUAACACAUGCAAGUCGAGGGGCAGCAGGACGAUAGCUUGCUAUGUUGCUGGCGACCGGCGCACGGGUGAGUAACGCGUAUCCAACCUUCCCCUUAGUAGGGCACAGCCCGGUGAAAAUCGGAUUAAUACCCUAUGUUAUUCGUCGAGGACAUCUGAAGUGAAUCAAAGAUUUAUCGCUAAGGGAUGGGGAUGCGUCUGAUUAGGUAGUCGGCGGGGUAACGGCCCACCGAGCCCUCGAUCAGUAGGGGUUCUGAGAGGAAGGUCCCCCACACUGGUACUGAGACACGGACCAGACUCCUACGGGAGGCAGCAGUGAGGAAUAUUGGUCAAUGGGCGAGAGCCUGAACCAGCCAAGUAAGCGUGCAGGAUGACGGCCCUAUGGGUUGUAAACUGCUUUUAUACGGGGAUAAAGUGAGGGACGUGUCCCUUAUUGUAGGUACCGUAUGAAUAAGGACCGGCUAAUUCCGUGCCAGCCGCCGC